CCAUACUCAUUUAACAUUUUCUAUUUCUCUCACUCUAACUCUCUUUCUCUAUCAACUUCGAUCUCAAUCUCUACUUUUCUAAAGAUUUUUGGAUCAUUGAAAGAAUGACAUGAAAAUCAAUUUAGGUUUUUAGAGGAGAAUAGACUUACUCAAAUAAUGUAAAGGAUACCUGAUUCAAGUUGAGAGGAUAUUCCAAGGAUGCGCCAGAAGAAACUACUGAGUGAAGGGAAGCAAAAAUGACUAGAUAUUUGGAACAUUUAAUGCAAUUUUCAUAAAUGCUACCACAUAUGCUAGCAGGAUAAUACCUGAAAUCCAGGCAUGGAAAUGUCUGGAUAUUGGGCUUUUGGAAACCAAUCUCAAAGGAACAAAUUCAAUCAAUUAAGGCAAAAAAUAAGAAUUUCAACUCUUCACAUAAAAUGGCUUACAUUGGAUACAAUGUGAUGAUGUGACAAGAUAGUAUGAUAAUGAGAAUAAUUAAAAAAUAAACUUUUGUGGAUUGUUAUUUUAAGUUUCAACAAUUAUUAUUUCAUAUAUUUUUUGUAUGAUCAUUUUCUUAUAUUUAUUUUUUAAAUAAUAAAUGGUUAUUAAAUAUAUUUUUAUUUUUUAUUUAAAAAAAAUAAUAAAAACAUGAAUUACGAAACAUGUUUUUAUUUUUUAUUUAAUAAUACAAAAAAAAUAUAUUAGU
Molecule: long non-coding RNA, 685 nt
Organism: Humulus lupulus (European hop)
Lineage: Eukaryota; Viridiplantae; Streptophyta; Magnoliopsida; Rosales; Cannabaceae
Exons: 4
Source: RefSeq, a predicted model, not a curated record